AGGGGCAUCAGGAAGAAAGCUUGCUUUCUUUGCUGGCGACCGGCGCACGGGUGAGUAACACGUAUCCAACCUGCCCUUUACUCGGGGAUAGCCUUUCGAAAGAAAGAUUAAUACCUGAUAGUAUGGUGAGAUUGCAUGAUAACACCAUUAAAGAUUUAUUGGUAAACGAUGGGGAUGCGUUCCAUUAGGUUGUUGGUGAGGUAACGGCUCACCAAGCCUUCGAUGGAUAGGGGUUCUGAGAGGAAGGUCCCCACACUGGUACUGAGACACGGACCAGACUCC
Molecule: ribosomal RNA, 282 nt
Filed under: uncultured Bacteroides sp.
Lineage: Bacteria; Pseudomonadati; Bacteroidota; Bacteroidia; Bacteroidales; Bacteroidaceae
Description: partial 16S ribosomal RNA
Rfam family: Bacterial small subunit ribosomal RNA
Source: RNAcentral